UACGGAGGGUGCAAGCGUUAUCCGGAUUCACUGGGUUUAAAGGGUGCGUAGGUGGCUUGGUAAGUCAGUGGUGAAAGCCCGGAACUCAACUCCGGAACUGCCAUUGAUACUGCUUAGCUUGAAUCAGGUCGAGGUGGAUGGAAUAUUACAUGUAGCGGUGAAAUGCUUAGAUAUGUAAUAGAACACCGAUUGCGAAGGCAGUUCACUAGGCCUGUAUUGACACUGAGGCACGAAAGCGUGGGGAUCAAACAGG
This 253-nucleotide ribosomal RNA is filed under the name uncultured bacterium. Its description in RNAcentral is "partial 16S ribosomal RNA". It matches the Rfam family "Bacterial small subunit ribosomal RNA", at positions 524 to 776 of the family's 1533-position model. The record is from RNAcentral.